GAUGAACGCUGGCGGCGUGCCUAAUACAUGCAAGUCGAGCGAACAGAUAAGGAGCUUGCUCCUUUGAAGUUAGUGGCGGACGGGUGAGUAACACGUGGGUAACCUACCUAUAAGACUGGGAUAACUUCGGGAAACCGGAGCUAAUACCGGAUAACAUUUAGAACCGCAUGGUUCUAAAGUGAAAGAUGGUUUUGCUAUCACUUAUAGAUGGACCCGCGCCGUAUUAGCUAGUUGGUAAGGUAACGGCUUACCAAGGCGACGAUACGUAGCCGACCUGAGAGGGUGAUCGGCCACACUGGAACUGAGACACGGUCCAGACUCCUACGGGAGGCAGCAGUAGGGAAUCUUCCGCAAUGGGCGAAAGCCUGACGGAGCAACGCCGCGUGAGUGAUGAAGGGUUUCGGCUCGUAAAACUCUGUUAUUAGGGAAGAACAAAUGUGUAAGUAACUGUGCACAUCUUGACGGUACCUAAUCAGAAAGCCACGGCUAACUACGUG
Molecule: ribosomal RNA, 497 nt
Filed under: uncultured bacterium
Lineage: Bacteria
Description: partial 16S ribosomal RNA
Rfam family: Bacterial small subunit ribosomal RNA
Source: RNAcentral